AUUGAACGCUGGCGGCAUGCCUUACACAUGCAAGUCGAACGGCAGCGGGCCUUCGGGUGCCGGCGAGUGGCGAACGGUGAGUAAUGCAUCGGAACGUGCCAUUGAGUGGGGGAUAACGUAGCGAAAGUUACGCUAAUACCGCAUAUUCUGUGAGCAGGAAAGCAGGGGACCGCAAGGCCUUGCGCUCUUUGAGCGGCCGAUGUCAGAUUAGCUAGUUGGUGAGGUAAAGGCUUACCAAGGCGACGAUCUGUAGCGGGUCUGAGAGGAUGAUCCGCCACACUGGAACUGAGACACGGUCCAGACUCCUACGGGAGGCAGCAGUGGGGAAUUUUGGACAAUGGGCGCAAGCCUGAUCCAGCCAUGCCGCGUGAGUGAAGAAGGCCUGGUGUAAG
Molecule: ribosomal RNA, 392 nt
Filed under: uncultured bacterium
Lineage: Bacteria
Description: bacterial SSU rRNA
Rfam family: Bacterial small subunit ribosomal RNA
Source: RNAcentral